GACGAACGCUGGCGGCGUGCUAACACAUGCAAGUCGAACGGUAAGGCCCUUCGGGGUACACGAGUGGCGAACGGGUGAGUAACACGUGGGUGAUCUGCCCUGCACUUCAGGAUAAGCCUGGGAAACUGGGUCUAAUACCGGAUAGGACCACUGCCUGCAUGGGUGGUGGUGGAAAGCUUUUGCGGUGUGGGAUGGGCCCGCGGCCUAUCAGCUUGUUGGUGGGGUGAUGGCCUACCAAGGCGACGACGGGUAGCCGGCCUGAGAGGGUGACCGGCCACACUGGGACUGAGAUACGGCCCAGACUCCUACGGGAGGCAGCAGUGGGGAAUAUUGCACAAUGGGCGCAAGCCUGAUGCAGCGACGCCGCGUGAGGGAUGACGGCCUUCGGGUUGUAAACCUCUUUCAGCACCGACGAAGCGCAAGUGACGGUAGGUGCAGAAGAAGGACCGGCCAACUACGUGCCAGCCGCCGCAGUAA
Molecule: ribosomal RNA, 477 nt
Filed under: uncultured bacterium
Lineage: Bacteria
Description: partial 16S ribosomal RNA
Rfam family: Bacterial small subunit ribosomal RNA
Source: RNAcentral